This 462-nucleotide ribosomal RNA is filed under the name uncultured bacterium. RNAcentral describes it as "partial 16S ribosomal RNA". It matches the Rfam family "Bacterial small subunit ribosomal RNA", at positions 28 to 507 of the family's 1533-position model. The record is from RNAcentral.
GAUGAACGCUGACAGAAUGCUUAACACAUGCAAGUCAUUGGCGAAGCUGCGCUUGCGCAGUCUAGCCAAGGCGGACGGGUGAGUAACGCGUAAGGAACUUGCCCUGCAGACAGGGAUAACAGACGGAAACGACUGAUAACACCUGGUAUUGUCAGGCUGGCGCAUGCCGGCCUGAUGAAAGGAGACACUGCAGGAGAGCCUUGCGUCCUAUUAGCUAGUUGGUGGGGUAACGGCCCACCAAGGCGAUGAUAGGUAGCCGGCCUGAGAGGGUGAACGGCCACAAGGGGACUGAGAUACGGCCCUUACUCCUGCGGGAGGCAGCAGUGGGGAAUAUUGGACAAUGGGGGCAACCCUGAUCCAGCAAUUCUGUGUGCACGAAGAAGGUUUUCGGAUUGUAAAGUGCUUUCAGCAGGGAAGAAGAAAGUGACGGUACCUGCAGAAGAAGCGACGGCUAAAUACGUG